Molecule: unclassified non-coding RNA, 391 nt
Filed under: Hevea brasiliensis (rubber tree)
Lineage: Eukaryota; Viridiplantae; Streptophyta; Magnoliopsida; Malpighiales; Euphorbiaceae
Source: RNAcentral
GGAGAAUUCAAGUAAAGCAAUCCAGAGGAUUCCACAACAUAUUUCAACAUUACUUAAUUGAGUAUGCUGCAUGUGUCAGGAUCAUAAGAGAUAUUACUUAGCUCAGUGAUAUGCACAAUACGAAGAGGUUUGAGAAAGUUGAAAUAAGUCAGUAAGGAGGCAGGAGAGAAAAAUAGAUUCAUAAUGAACUAUUAAGAUUUAUAGUAGGAUUUCUAGCUAAAAGCCAUCAACAUGUCCUACGAAGGUAUCAUGUCAAAUGUUGUUGCUAAGUAUGUAGUGUUUCUCAUUGUUGCAAAGUAUGUAGUACUUCUCAUGUUUCACUUUAACAACGAGCAAUAUCAACUCUGCUAUUUUGUUUUAGCAUCCACUGUGUGACCUCUCUGAAAUUAUU